CUCAUGGAGUUUGGUGUUGCAGGAACAGUUGCUCAGGCAGGCUAGGUUCGGUUGCUACCAAAUAUCCUUGAAGUCUCAGAAUUACUGAGAACAAAGAUUUGCCUCCAUGCUCGCUGGGUCCCUGAUAAAUCGGGCAUGUCUGUCCUUGUUUCAGAAGGGAGAUGAGUUCUGAGGUGUCAAGAGGAAAUGGCCCUGUACCCAGUUUCACGUCCCGAACGGGGUCCCUGGUGCCUGGGAUGCCAUGUUGCUGAGCAGAUGGCAGUGUCAUGGGCGUGCUUCUGGUGGAGACAAGAUGGAGAUGAAACUGCACACCCCCUCAUGUUGGCAGCUUUGGAGAGUCUUGGCCAGCUCUUCCAGGGGAGGUCCUGAGAGUUGCAUCAACUCCGUUCUUCCUAGUGGGAAGAUGGGGAAAUAAAUCAACCAAGAUAUUCUUUGACCGAUCACCAUGCCAUUCAACGCUCAGAUGCCUAUGCCGGUCAAAUCUCUCCAGAAUAUCCCAGUGCUUGGAUGAUUAAGCAAAGAAACAUCAGGAUAGGAAACCUAAGAUGGAGCCAGAAACAAGGUCAUUGCUGAACUUGUAUGCUGUGAGUUCUACAAUACUUGAUGGACACGGAUAUUUGGUCCUCAGCAGCCACUACAGACUGGCAGUCAGUCGAUUUGACUACAAGUGCAACCUCCCUGAUCUCGAGUCUAUCAGAAGCUCUGAGUGUGGCCCAUCUACCCUGCAGCUUGGUUCCUGGUCAGAGGGCAAAGCUUGCCUGGAAGUGAGACUUUGAAAUGACACUUGGCUUGGUUCCCUGAAGGGUUGGGCGGUGCCAGUGAAAGAAGAUGCAUCUUUCUUCAAGUUCUUUGUUGCUUCCAGAAAGUCUGUGUUGAUUAGGAAAUGGUAAUCGAAGCUGCUCCCUUGGACCCAUUGAUGGAAGCUUCAGAUUGAGGAUGGCAGAGCUGCUCAAACUUCCUGAACUGUUGGAUGAGACAGAAAUGAACUUCUCUUUUAUUUAAGCCUCUGGAUUUUGGGUGUCUUUGUUAUACCAACUUUCCUGUAACCUAACUAAAAGAUCUAUAUGCAGGACCAAUUUGUGCCCUAAAAUAUUCUGGUUGACAUCUCCCCCCAAAGCCUAGAUCUACUCCCUGAAGACUAGAGAGAGCUGCAUGAGAGCAGAGCUCAAGACAUUGUGGUUUGCUUAAACUAUGACUCCUUGGAAAGUUAAGAAAUGGAAUUCAUUGCAGUAGCUGGGAGAACAUCACCAAGAAAUUCACCAUUAAAUGUUUUGUUGUUGCUGAUUGUGUAACUUCUGAUUUUGAUAUAAUUUCAAAAUUAUACAAAACUUACAGAUAGGUUGCAAGAGUAGUGCAGGAACAUUUGCAAACCCGCUUUUCGGAUUUACCAACUGUUGUGCCCAUUUUACUUUCUCAUUCUCCUCUAUUGCGUGUGUGUCUACUAAUAUAUUCUUUUUUUCUGAAUUA
Aethalodelphis obliquidens (Pacific white-sided dolphin) is the source of this 1467-nucleotide long non-coding RNA. RefSeq lists it as uncharacterized. The transcript is spliced from 6 exons. NCBI's taxonomy places the organism in Eukaryota, Metazoa, Chordata, Mammalia, Artiodactyla, Delphinidae. The record is from RefSeq and is a predicted model, not a curated record.